AUGUUGUAUGGGCACCCAUUUUCCAGUCAUUUUUCAGCAUUCCCCUUUGAGUGGACCAAGCAGAUAUUCAAGAUCAAAGUAAGACUAUUUAUUGCUGUACAUGUACUCUCUGAUGGCAAACAGUGGUUUUAUGAUUGUCUUUCUUUGGUGAGUGAAGAGUCAAAGGAACCCCAGCCCAAGACAUCUUUCAAUUUAAGGAUAAUUCAGAUUCUGAGGUUGCACGUGCCAAGACUGUAUUGUUCUGUCAGACGUCGUCAUCUAACGGGUCUACAAAAUCCCUCCCUGACACUCUGGGUAGAACUCCUGUUAAGGUUAGCUAGAAUAUGUAAAGGCUCCAUUAUUUGCAGAAAUUGGUCAUUUAAUUUAUAUUAGAUGGUUGUACAUUCAAGAAUGCUCUAGUUUGCCUAAUCUAGCUUUAUAAUAAAUCUGGCAUUGUACACUGAAUACUGUCAGCUCUCUGACUAAUUACUUAUGCCGCUCUAUUUUAAGUAGCUUUGGACAAACACAUCUGCUAAAUGCAUAAAUAUAAAUUAUGUAAAAU
RNAcentral lists this long non-coding RNA (541 nucleotides) under Sinocyclocheilus grahami. Its description in RNAcentral is "lncRNA (ENSSGRG00000039765.1)". Lineage: Eukaryota; Metazoa; Chordata; Actinopteri; Cypriniformes; Cyprinidae. The record is from RNAcentral.